Long non-coding RNA from Stegodyphus dumicola, 251 nucleotides. The record is from RefSeq and is a predicted model, not a curated record. NCBI's taxonomy places the organism in Eukaryota, Metazoa, Arthropoda, Arachnida, Araneae, Eresidae.
UUUAAAUUUUAGUCAUUGAAAUAUUCAUAAGAUAUCCUUCUUUGACAGGAGAUGGCCAUCAGUCUGACGAUCAUGCUGCGAGUGGAGAUAAAGAGGCUGGAAAUUUCGAUAAGAACCUGUAUCUUUAUAGCGAUGAAAUGGCAGAAAGACCUCACGUAGCAACAUUUCUAAGUACUCUAGCCAAUUACAAUGUUGCUAUACCCACUGUCGAAGAUCCAGAGGGCCCUAAGGAAGGAAAAGCUCCACCAAAG